Molecule: ribosomal RNA, 1246 nt
Filed under: uncultured Actinomycetes bacterium
Lineage: Bacteria; Bacillati; Actinomycetota; Actinomycetes
Description: bacterial SSU rRNA
Rfam family: Bacterial small subunit ribosomal RNA
Source: RNAcentral
GGAUGAGCCCGCGGCCUAUCAGCUUGUUGGUGGGGUAAUGGCCUACCAAGGCGACGACGGGUAGCCGGCCUGAGAGGGUGACCGGCCACACUGGGACUGAGAUACGGCCCAGACUCCUACGGGAGGCAGCAGUGGGGAAUAUUGCACAAUGGGCGCAAGCCUGAUGCAGCGACGCCGCGUGAGGGAUGACGGCCUUCGGGUUGUAAACCUCUUUCAGUAGGGACGAAGCGCAAGUGACGGUACCUAUAGAAGAAGGACCGGCCAACUACGUGCCAGCAGCCGCGGUAAUACGUAGGGUCCGAGCGUUGUCCGGAAUUACUGGGCGUAAAGAGCUCGUAGGUGGUUUGUCGCGUUGUUCGUGAAAACUCACAGCUUAACUGUGGGCGUGCGGGCGAUACGGGCAGACUGGAGUACUGCAGGGGAGACUGGAAUUCCUGGUGUAGCGGUGGAAUGCGCAGAUAUCAGGAGGAACACCGGUGGCGAAGGCGGGUCUCUGGGCAGUAACUGACGCUGAGGAGCGAAAGCGUGGGGAGCGAACAGGAUUAGAUACCCUGGUAGUCCACGCCGUAAACGGUGGGUACUAGGUGUGGGUUUCCUUCCUUGGGAUCCGUGCCGUAGCUAACGCAUUAAGUACCCCGCCUGGGGAGUACGGCCGCAAGGCUAAAACUCAAAGGAAUUGACGGGGGCCCGCACAAGCAGCGGAGCAUGUGGCUUAAUUCGACGCAACGCGAAGAACUUACCAAGGCUUGACAUACACCGGAAAGCAUCAGAGAUGGUGCCCCCCUUGUGGUCGGUGUACAGGUGGUGCAUGGCUGUCGUCAGCUCGUGUCGUGAGAUGUUGGGUUAAGUCCCGCAACGAGCGCAACCCUUGUUCUGUGUUGCCAGCAUGCCCUUCGGGGUGAUGGGGACUCACAGGAGACUGCCGGGGUCAACUCGGAGGAAGGUGGGGACGACGUCAAGUCAUCAUGCCCCUUAUGGCUUGGGCUGCACACGUGCUACAAUGGCCGGUACAAAGAGCUGCGAAACCGUGAGGUGGAGCGAAUCUCAAAAAGCCGGUCUCAGUUCGGAUUGGGGUCUGCAACUCGACCCCAUGAAGUCGGAGUUGCUAGUAAUCGCAGAUCAGCAUUGCUGCGGUGAAUACGUUCCCGGGCCUUGUGCACACCGCCCGUCACGUCACGAAAGUCGGUAACACCCGAAGCCGGUGGCCCAACCCCUUGUGGGAGGGAGCUGUCGAAGGUGGGGCUGG